UAACGCGUAUGCAACCUACCCUUUACUGGAGGAUAGCCCGGGGAAACUCGGAUUAAUACUUCAUAGUACUAUAGAUUGGCAUCAUGAAAUAGUUAAAGAUUUAUUGGUAAAGGAUGGGCAUGCGUACCAUUAGUUAGUUGGUGAGGUAAUGGCUCACCAAGACGAUGAUGGUUAGGGGGCCUGAGAGGGUGAUCCCCCACACUGGUACUGAGAUACGGACCAGACUCC
This 228-nucleotide ribosomal RNA is filed under the name uncultured bacterium. RNAcentral's name for it is "partial 16S ribosomal RNA". It matches the Rfam family "Bacterial small subunit ribosomal RNA", at positions 111 to 339 of the family's 1533-position model. The record is from RNAcentral.